UCGACUUGCACUCGCAUUUGUCCACGUCCAGGGACUCGAGCUUCUCCUUCAUGAAGCUGAACGGCAUGACUGCAAGAGCGAUCGAUCCCACAUCAGGCGCUUGCUGUUUGAUCAUCAUGUUGGUCUGGGCAACACUUACAUGAGGUGAAGUUGAACUGCCUGACGCUGCCAACACCGCCGUCGCCCUCCACGGGAUGGGCGCUUGUGACGACGUGAGAGGCGACCUUGGGCGCCAGGUUGUGCCAGUCCAUCACGGCGGCGCGGAACAGGCGCGGCGCGGCCACCGGCGACGGGAUCUCUAGGGUCCAGCUGUUGGAAGCCAUGCUGGUGGUGGUCUGGGAUGAGCUUUGGCUCGGUGCCUAGGCCUAGUUUGAUACUAGUAGCUGGAGCUGCUGCUUGUGUUGCUGGAACGAGCGGCAACAAGGUAUUUAAAUAGAGUGCGGUGAGCGCGGGGUUGGUGACGCUUUGCCCGGUUGGUGUCCGGUGGUGACUGGUGAGGGCCUCAAGUUGCUGGGCGAGUCGUCGGGCUUUUCCACAAUGGAUGGCUCUGUCGGUCGAGUGAGCUUUUAGUAAGGCGGGCGUCGAAACACACGUCUUGCACGGUCUUUGUCAAAACACGAGGAUAUAUUCGAGGAGUAUGUUGACGGAAUUGGCGCCACCUUCCGCUUGCACAAUUUGGUCUUUGGUAUAUAAAAGUAGUAUGUAAUGACUGUCAGAGUUCUAGAUAUUUGACUGCAUGUCUGCAUGCUAGGAUAACUUCCAUUCUAGAACGAUAUGAGGCCCUUGACUAACAUGAAUACAUCAUCUUUUGAAUUUAGACAUGAGAAGACUUAAAUUUUGUUUGACAUAACUCAACUUUAUUUUUGAAACUGCUUUUUUUAAAUAGCUCUACGUGCAACUUUCUCGGUAUUAAAAAGUUAUUUUAUAAAAUAGCUUCACUAACAACUUUAUGUAUGGUUGAGAGAGAGAAAUGAAAGAGCGCUUUGAAAAGUUAUUUUUAGCUCUAUUUUUCUGUGAGAGCAUAAAAAAGGUGUUUGACAAAAAACAACAACAACUCACAACAGCUCAUGAAGUUGUUGGUUAAACCGUGUCACAUAGAGCCUCACUUGCUGUCGACGAAAGCUGGUCGGCAGUCUACCUUGGGGUAUACCCACGGUAGUAGUUUAUUGGUAGACGGUGCGCAAACUACGAACUCGACGGUGACGCAAGACUCGGACAAGCUUUUUAUCCAGGUUCGGCCGCCGAGUUGGCGUAAUACCUACGUCCUGCGUCUGGUUGUAUUGAUUUGUGUUGAGAGAAUAUCCUGUCCUAGGGGGGUCCCUUGCCCCUCCUUAUAUAGUCUGGAGGGCAGGGUUACAGAUCUGGAAACUAAUCCUAGUCGGUUACAAUUGUCAUAGAUAGUUCGAUAUCAAUUCCUAUUCUAACCGACUAGAAUCCUGCUUGAUCUCCACAUCUUGCUUCCUUGCGCGAAACCCCAUGCUGUCGGAUCAAGCCUUGAACUCGUCUCGUAAUGGGCCAAGCCUCCUGGCCCAAGUCUAGCCAUAAGGGUAUAGGGGUCUAUCCCCCCACACUUGCUGACAGUGAUGCCACCUUUUUCUUCUUAUCUCAUCCCUUAUGGAUCUUUUAUGAGAAACAUCUUGUUUAAUUUAUAAAAAAACUACCCUUUUUUUAAGUGACUCCUUCUUGCUCUAGCGAGAUCUUUUACCGUUGUCGAAAUGGUAACAUGAUGUACCACUCAACAUGCAUGAGAGGUAAACCACGGUACCUUUAGGACUAAUAGUUUUGACACCUACAGUACCAAACUCAAGUUAUAUAGUUUUGAUAACUUACCAAGGAUAAUAAAAAAAAACUCCUUACAAAUGCCUUCUAUGGCUUCUUAUAGGCACUUGUUAUGAUAUAAGGACACAACUAUGACAAUUAAGGAAUGGUGGGCAUCCUUAUUGAAGGUCCAUUUGGACUUUGGAUGCAAGGGGUAAUUGGUAGUUAGCUAAGAAUUAGCUCCCGUGUAUCUAAAUAGGAAUAUAUGUGCUAAUUUUUUAAUUAGCCAAGUUUUCAGCUAGUCGUUAGGCAAAUAGCUAGCCAACUAUAAACUAAUUUAGACUAAUUUUUAGCCCCAACUAAUAACUAGUGUAUCCAAAUAGAGUAGAAUUGUAAAAGAGAACGAUGGUAGUUCUAGUGUACUAUUUUUAGGAUGUCUACAAAUAACAAAAUAGAAGGGCUUUGCACGGAAAGAUGAAUUGACUCUAAAAAAGAAGGCUUGUGGCAAACCUAGUUUAGGCUUUUCAUUUCGCUGAAAAUACACUGAAAAGUACUGUUCACUGAUUUGUUGUGAGAGAAAAAUCCUGUAUCAUGACUGAUAAAUCUAAUGUCAUUGUUGUAUUCUUUUGUAACUUAAAUUUGCAAAAAUCUACAUUUUCUUUCUUUUUUAAAAGAAAAUGGACAGACAAGAGAGCUACCUUUUAUAUAGUACAGUCAGGCUUCUCCUUACGUGACCUGUCAUUUCUUAAAAAGAAAUGCAAGCUCGGUUGAUAAGGGUUUAGCCGUUUGAGGCCGCCGUUGAGCAUCACUUUUGUCUAAACUCAGAAAAUGAACUAAAAGCUGCUGUGAAGAGAUUUCGUGGCUUAUGAUUUGUUCUGGAAGCUAAAAAAAUAUUACAAAAUUCAAUAAUGAAAAUACAACAGUCAGAAGCCACAAAAUCAGCUUUUAUGUCAAAAGUACAAAAGAUACCGCUCAAACAAACAAGCCCUUAAAUGUCUUCUUCUCCCAGCUCUCUAGUGAACGCUAUAGCUCUUGGAGCUUUCAUAUUUUCCAUAAUAAUUUUAAACACUCUACCAAUAUCUACUGAAAAUGUAUCGAAAAAAUCAAAAUAUCUAUUAGAAAUGAGCAAAAUUAUCGGUCAAACUUGCAUAGAAUUCGAAAACAAAAUGCCCCUAUUCUUCCCACACAUAAAACCAUUGUAUACCCAUUUUCUGUCCCUUCUUCUUUCAAGAAAGUCAUUGUAUACCCAAAUAGUUUUCCAUCCGCCCUAUUUAUAGUCCAGUUUAUCCAGUUUUUGGUAAAACCUAGCCUAGCCCGUAGGAUUUAUCUACAACAGUUUCUAACCCACAGGUACCAGCGGUUUCCCUCCUGAUCUUCCCCAAUCGCCCACUUGCAACACCACGUUGCUCAUUGUUAACUUACUCUCCACGGACCUGUCCGCUCGUCGCGCUCGCCUCGAGCCGUCCGUGCGCUCUGGAGAUCCUAACUUUAUAUAUGGCCAUGCAGCCCAUGGCCCGGUGGCCCGGCCCAUGGCCUGACGAUUUGGCACGGCCCGAGGGACCCUGCCUAGGCCACCACCUAUGCACGCGACAUGGCCCAAGCAUGGCUUUAUCCAACGGUUGGCCCGGUAGCGGCUCGGUGAAAAUAAACUGUUGUGUAGUUGUGACUUAUAUAUAUAUGUGCCGUUAAUUGUUAUAUUGGAGAAAAUGAUGAACAAUUGGUGAAAAUGAUAAAGUGUUUUAGCACUUAGUGAAAAUGUUAAUGAAAAUGAACUGUUUUCGGCUAAACGGGUCGUGGGCUGGCACAAUACGAGAAAAACGCCAUGCUUGACGGGCCGACACGACACGAAAACCGGCCCAUAGGCCGUGCCUUAGGCCGAAGGCUAUGCAUGAAGUCCAUGGAGGCACGACCCGCAGCACGACACUGCAUGACGUUGGACAUAUAUAAUCCUAAAGCAGGACGAUUAGAAGGAAGAAGAUGGGGGUCUCCACCUGUCGUGCAGUGGAAUUCUCGUGCCUCCCCGUGCAUGGCCACGGUGCCACCAUUGACCACACGAGCGCGGCGUGGUGUGCGUCCGAAGAUGUUGUGGCUGGCGUUGAAGACAACCUCGAAGUUGUGCCUCUGUCCUCCAUUGGUGCCCAUGGGUACGCUGUUGAGCGGCGCUGGUGCCCCCUUCGUCGGCACGGGAGGAAGAACACGACCAAGUUUAACGAGUUGAGUGGUGUGGAAACGUCGCAAACCAACACGCGUGGUUUCUCCUGACACGGUUUACCGUGGGCUGAUUCACGGGUACACGGUUAGUAUACAUAUAUAUAGGGGGUGUUUGGUUCAAAAAAUGCAAAUGUCAAUUACUUUGUAAUGAUGGAAUGUAAAAGGUCAAACUUUUCAUGGUUAUGUUUAGUAAUGCAGAAUUUAUUGUCUUUAUAAGGGCCUCUUGAGGUUCUUUUGGUGUGUUUUUUUGCCUCUUGAGGUCAAAAUCUAAAAUAAAGAAUAAUUAUUUUUUUGCUAAAAAUUUUGCAUGCUGUUUAGUUAUAUUAUACAGAACAAUGGACCAAAACCAAGAAUUUUUUAGAAUAGCAGGGGAAAACACCCAUAAUCGCACAACGACAGCAUGCUACAUACCACUCAUAACAUCUCAAGUCCACACACCGCACACUGCUUAGAGCAGCUUUAUUUAUUUUGUACGAAAAAAGGAACAUGAAAGAAAAAAAAUCCAGUCUCUGAAUAUAUCAAAACAUGUAUAAGACCACCCGUGAAGUGCAAUCGCAUCCCCAUCCACAGAUUUAGUUGUAGGCGUCGGGGUUGGCGACGAGGUAGGCCUCGGCACCCUUGAAGAUGGCGGUGACUGCCUCCUUGGCCUUGACUUCCUCGCCCUUCACGUCCACACCCGGCAGCAGCUUGUAGGUCGACUCCACCUUCACCACGCUGCCGCCGCCGGCCGCGGGCUCCACCUUGAUGUGCGACGCCGCGGUCUCGACGGCCACGCCGAUGCCGCCUCCCUCGACGAGCGUCGACUUGCACUCGCACUUGUCCAUGUCCAGGGACUCGAGCUUCUCCUUCAUGAAGCUGAAUGGCAUGACUGCAAGAGCGAUCGAUCCCACGUCAGGCGCUAGCUGUUUGAUCGAUGAUCAAGCGAGAGAACAUCAUGUUGGUCUGGGCAACACUUACAUGAGGUGAAGUUGAACUGCCUGACGCUGCCAACACCGCCGUCGCCCUCCACGGGAUGGGCGCUUGUGACGACGUGAGAGGCGACCUUGGGCGCCAGGUUGUGCCAGUCCAUCACGGCGGCGCGGAACAGGCGCGGCGCGGCCACCGGCGACGGGAUCUCGAGGGUCCAGCUGUUGGAAGCCAUGGCUGGUGGUCUGCGAUGAGCUUUGGCUCGGUGCCUAGCUAGGUCUAGUUUGAUUAGCUGAUGCAAGUAGGUGGAGCUGCUGCUUGUGUUGCUGGAACGAGCGGCAAAAAGGGAUUUAAAUAGAGUGCGAUGAGCGCGGGGUUGGUGACGCUUUGCCCCGUUGGUGUCCGGUGGUGACUGGUGAGGCCUGAAAGUUGCUGGGCGAGUCGUCGCGCUUUUCCACAAUGGAUGGCUCUCCGUCGGUCGAGUGAGCUUUAUUAAUAAGGCGGGCGUCCAAAACACACGUCGUUGUCGCACACUCUUUGUCAAAACACGAGGAUAUAUUCGAGGAAUAUGUUGACCGAAUUGGCGGCUUGCCGCCACCUUCCGCUUGCACAAAUUGGUCUAGGUCUUAAAAACAAGCCAUGUAUGUCACAUUUGGUUGGUAUAUACAAGUAGUAUGUAAUGACUGUCAGAGUUCUAGAUAUUUGACUGCAUGGAUGUCUGCAUGCUGGAUAACUUCCAUUCUAGAACGAUAUGCCUUGACUAACAUGAAUUCAUCAUCUUUUGAAUUUAGACAUGAGAGGACUUAAGUUCCGUUUGACACAACUCAGUUUUAUUAUCGAAGCUGUUUCUUUAGAUAGCUUUAUGAGUAACUUUCUUGGCUGAGCUAUUUUAGAAAAUCAUUUUGUAAAAUAGUUUCACUAACAACUUUAUGCAUGGUUGAGAGGGGAAAAUGAGAGAGCUUUUUGAAAAGUUGUUUUUUAGUUCUACUUUUCCGUGGGAGCAUAAAAAAGGUGUUUGACAAAAGAAAAGAGUAAAGUCCAUCACCAGUCUCUAAACUUGUUUAGGUAUAUCAUCCCGGUCUCUAACUCGCAAAACGAUCGUUUAGGUACCUAAACUUGUUCGGCUAUAUCACUCUGGUCCCUAAACUUGGAAAUCUCAUAUAUAGGCCUUCAAACUUGUUUAGUUGUGUCAUCCCAGUCCCUAAACUUGUUUUUAAGUCUCGUCUGGUUCAAAACGGAACGAAUCUAAAAACUCUAUAAAUAACUCAUAACUUUUUCAUAUAAACUCAAAUAAAGAUAAACUUUAUAUUAAAAUUAUAGCCAACAAUGUGAUCUACAACUUUGUAGUUAAAAAGUUUUUAAACUAAAAUAAUUUAGGGUCUCAUUUUUUUGUAAGUUUAUUAAAUUUUGUGACACUAAAUGACUUCAAAUAAAAAACUUUUCAACUACAAAGUUAUAGAUCACAUUGAAGGCUACAACUUUAAUAUAAAGUUUGUUUUCAUUCAAGUUUAUAUGAAAACGUUAUGAAUUAUUUUUCUAUAUAGAGUUUUUAGAUCGCUUUGUUUUGACCCAGGUGAGACUCAAGACCAAGUUUAGGGACUGAGAUGACACAACUGAAUAAAUUUAAGGACCUAAAUGGGUAAUUUCUAAGUUUAGAAACCAGGAUGACACAUCUGAACAAGUUUAGAGACCGGAAUGAUAUAGACAAACAAGUUUAAUGACCUAAAUGAUCAAUUUAUGAGUUUAGGGACCGAUCGAGGUGAUACAACAGGUGGUGGAUUUUACUAUAAAAACUCACAACAACUCAUGAAGUUGUUGAUGAAGCUGUGCCAAAUAAGGCCUCACUUGCUGACGGUGUUGUCACCCUUUUCUUCUUAUCUCACCCUUUACAGAUCUUUUACAAGAAACAUCUUGUAAACAAAUCGUUGUCACCCUUUUUUUUUUGUUGAGUGACCCCUUCUCGCUCUAGCAAGAUCUUUUGCCGUUCUUCAAAUGGUAACAUGAUGUACCACUCAACAUGCAUGGGAGGUAAAAAAAAUGGUACCUAGGUACUAAUACUUUUGAUAGCUACAGUACCAAACUCAAGUUAUAUAUAGUUUUGAUACCUUACCAACGAUAAAAAAACUCCUUACAAAUGACUUCUAUGGCUUCUUAUAGACACUAGUUGCUAUAUGAUAUAAGGACACAACUAUGACAAUUAAGGAGUGGUGGGGUCUUUAUUAAAGGUUUGUUUGGACUUUGGAUACAAGGCGUAAUUGCUAGUUAGCUAAGAACUAGCUCGUGUAUCUAAAUAUGAGAGUUAAUAGGUGAGUUACUUUUAUAGUCAUUUUUUUUACUAGUCGUUAGUCAACAACCAGUAACUAGCCAUGUGUAUCUAAAUCUCCUACAACUAAAAAGAACAAAACGUGGAUACUUUUUGGUGCGACAUUCUAACGUGGGCCCAUAGUCCUGCCUGCUGCGUUCCCGUGGCCACUCUACAUCGUGCAUGACAUCCCUUGCGAUAUUCAAUUCAAAUCAAGAAUCGAUAUGUCAGGUUCCAGUUUUUAUACGAUUGCCAUAUGAAGCCUUUCCGCCAAAAGCCGUCCGACCACGGUGAAACAAAAAUAAUAAUAAAAUCUGCCCCAAUUCACGGACGGGUGACCAACGUGGCCAUGCAUGAAAGAAAUCGUCUAAAAAAUACUCAACUUUCCAUCUCUUCCGCUCCCUUUUCUUGAGAAAAAUGGUCAACCAUCGUGCAACUAAUCAGGAGACCAUCCCACCGAUCCCGCGUGCACAGCUGGCGGAAGCCCCUCGCGCGGUCACAAUCUCUCCUCAAUCAUGCACGGACAUCGCGUUCCUUAGGCAAAAGCAGAAAUUCCUCUCGAUCAUGCGCCGCCGCAACGAAACAUCUUCCUUUCCUGCCCGACGCCCUCGCUCUCGGUGCUUGGAGAGAUCGAGCCGAGCAUACCGGCUUCCCCUGAAGGCUUGAGACGGACACAGUUGACUGCUUCUUCGUCAUUGAUUGUCGCCAGCAACUGCGCCCUUGGCAUCGGUGUGGCCUUGCAAGAUUGGAUCUUUUUGUUUUCAUCCCAAUCAUCGCCAUGGCGGCCUCCUCCCCCUGAACGAUGAACGCAGCUGCUUCGUCAUUGAUGAUCAGCUUCUGACCCUUCACCAAUCUCUAUCCCCUAUUAUUUGUUCCAUCAUCUGUUCCACUUUCCACGAUUGAUUCAGUACUGGUGUUGCAAACUUAUUUCGAUUCUCAAAAAGCGAACAACCUGAUCGGUUUGGUAAGCAUCUUUCUAUUCCAGGCUAUCGAAGCUCUCAUUAAGCUUUUUGAUUCAGUUUGUGCCAAAGGUACGUUCUUGGCAAAUGCGAGCUGGCACCAUGAAGCAAAUUAUAGCUAUUGGAGUCCAGUAGAUAAUAUCUUGUGUGAUCUCCUUGUUCUUAAAUAGUGUAAUUUAAGAAAAAACUUAUUCAUGUUUGUUCUCUUCGACCUUUUUAGAUACAAGACACAGAUUAUUAUAUUGAUAUCAUAAUUGGUUGUGGCAUUGAGGUGUGUAAAUUUAUGCUUUUCUCUUUUCUGUCGGUGUUUAAACUCUCUUCUGAAUUCAUGCCAUCCAUUGACUCCAGGUGAGAAACACCUCCUGUUGUUUAAUUGUUUUUUUGCUCUUGCUUUCAGUAUGAAUAGUCAAAUAUAGUCAAAACAAUAACCUGGUUCAGUAGUAAUAAGGAAUCAAGCUAUUGCAACACUUCUUGUCAAAAAAAUGCAGCACUUCUAGAGUUGCUACGGGUUUUAAAAUUCUCACUUGCUGCACAUUAGGAGACGAAAUUCUUGGUUUCAGUUAGCAGAGUGACACUUAUCACUGUUAUCUAUAAGGCAAAUCUAACAACAUAGCACAGAUUGUGGACAUCAGUUUUUUUUUAGAAAGUGGACAUUGUGGGCGGCUGAGCGGGCACCUACGGGUGGGCGCGGCCGGCGUCAUGGCCAGCUCUGGGCGGGCGCGGGGUGGGGGAGGGGGGUGAUCAAGGCUGAAUCACAGGAAGGUUUCCUUUUAGGUGCUGUUAGCUUGGUUGGCUAAUCCCACACGCUUGAGGAGUUGCCUCUAGGAGGGGGCUGAAAUCACUUGGAGUUUCUUUUGAAUAUCGCAACGGGUGGAAAUAUUGAUCACGAAAAAAGUGGAAACAAAUAGCACCUUGGCUCUUUCCUUUUGAAUAUAGCAAAGGAUGCUGUAGGUGGGCGACGACGUUGUAGGCUCACAAAAUCACUGUCGUUUGCAAUAACAAAUACCUAUGAUUUAACUAUUUCUAUAUAUUGCUGAUCAUGAAUCUUCCUACAGGUACUUAAGUGGAUUUCUCAUCCUACAAUAUAUGUCUACAUGGAAUAGACCAAAAGCCACACAUAUUUAUACAGUGAGUCUAACACUUUGUCUAAGUUUUUGUAAAAGUUUUUUAACAAAAUAUAGUAUUACCCAUGCGACACACACUAAUAUUUACAUAUAUAUACUCGAAUGUGUGACAGGAUGGUACGAAGAUGCGGCAGAAUUUAUUUGUGGAUUUACUGGCACAUGAAAGAAAUGGAUAUCCGAGAUAUCUUCCCGUCGAUAUUAAACAUUAUCUUAGCCGUAUCACGGAAAGGUCUAUAAAGUAGAGUUUGUGAGCCUACAACGUCGUGCUCUUCGUGACUGUGUUUGAUUUCACAAACAUUGCGAUCCUACAAUGUCAUUUUCAAGUUGUUAUUUAAGUAGAAGAUUCUAAUAUUAUUAUCUUGUUAUGCGAUCUAUGUAUUUUAAAUAAAAAAUGUUAGCUAUCCCGUAGCAACGCACGGGCAUGCUAUCUAGUAGAGUAGAAUUGUAAAAGAGAACAAUGGUAAUUCUAGUGUACUAUUCUUGAGAUGUCUAGAAAUAACAAAAUAGAAGGGCUUUGCACGGAAAGAGGAAUGUACUGUGAAAAACAUGGCAUAACUUAUGCCGAGGCUGUUCGUUCCGUUAAAAAAAUAAGUUGAAAAGAAAGUAAUGUUCACUAAUUUAUUGUGUGAGAAAAAUAUUGUAUCAUAGCUGAUAAGUCUGUAGUGUCAUUGUUAUAUUCGUUUGUAACAUAAAUUUGCAAAACUCUACAUUUAACAUUUUCUCUUUUUUUUAGAAAAAAAUGGACAGACACGAGAGCUACCUUUUAUAUAGUACAGUCAGGCUUCUCCUUACGUGAUUGAGCAAAGCUCGGUUGAGCAAACAAGGAUGACACAUCUGAACAAGUUUAGAGACCGGAAUGAUAUAGACAAACAAGUUUAAUGAUCUAAAUGAUCAAUUUAUGAGUUUAGGGACCGAGAUGAUACGACAGGUGAUGGAUUUUACUAAAAAAACUCACAACAACUCAUAAAGUUGUUGAUGAAGCUGUGCCAAAUAAGGCCUCACUUGCUGAUGGUGUUUUCACCCUUUUCUUCUUAUCUCACCUUUUACAGAUCUUUUACAAGAAACAUCUUGUAAACAAAUGGCUUAACUCUUUUUGUUGAGUGACCCCUUCUCGCUCUAGCAGGAUCUUUUGCCGUUCUUCAAAUGGUAACAUGAUGUACCACUCAACAUGCAUGGGAGGUAAAAAAAUGGUACCUAGGUACUAAUACUUUUGAUAGCUACAGUACCAAACUCAAGUUGUAUAUAGUUUUGAUACCUUACCAACGAUAAAAAAACUCCUUACAAAUGACUUCUAUGGCUUCUUAUAGACACUAGUUGCUAUGAUAUAAGGACACAACUAUGACAAUUAAGGAGUGGUGGGGUCUUUAUCAAAGGUUUGUUUGGACUUUGGAUACAAGGCGUAACUGCUAGUUAGCUAAGAACUAGCUCGUGUAUCUAAACAUGGGAGUUAAUAGGUGAGUUACUUUUAUAGUCAUUUUUUUGACUAGUCGUUAGUCAACAACCAGUAAUGUGGGGGUAUAAACCCCUAUACCCUUACGGCUAGACUUCGGCCAGGAGGCUUGGCCCAUUACGAGACGAGUCCAAGGCUUGAUCCGACAACCUGGAGUUUCGCGCAAGGAAACAAGAUGUGGAGAUCAAGCAGGAUUCUAGUCGGUUAGAAUAGAAAUUGAUAUCGAAUUAUCCAUGACAAUUGUAACCGACUAGGGUUAGUUUCCGGAUCUGUAACCCUGCCCUCCAGACUAUAUAAGGAGAGGCAAGGGACCCCCCUAGGACAUCAUAUUCUCUCAACACAAAUCAAUACAACCAGACGCAGGACGUAGGUAUUACGCCAACUCGGCGGCCGAACCUGGAUAAAAAGCUUGUCCGUGUCUUGCGUCACCAUCGAGUUCGUAGUUUGCGCACCGUCUACCGAUAAACUACUACCGUGGGUAUACCCCAAGGUAGACUGCCGACUAGCUUUCGUCGACAGUGGCGCGCCAGGUAGGGGGUGUGCGUGCAACUUUUCCGGCGAACAAGAUGGUCACGAUCCCAGCUUCCGCGACCGUGCCCGAAGGCCUCACGUUCACCGUCGGCCAGAUCACGUGGACGGCGUGCAGCGGCGGCUUCACGACCACGGUUUCGGAAGAGAUCCAGAUCCAAUCUGAGUUCACGCCGUCUCCGACCACACGCAUGACGGCACCAAGCGCCCGACCACCGUUCCCACUCUACAAGGGAAAGGAGAUCGACUGCUCGGACCUUCUCCAAGCGCUUGAUCGCGCUGACUCCAAGCUACUCGAAGUUUCCCAACUAAUAGAUGGAGUUCUGCGUCGGCCCGACCAAGCUGCUCCAGCGGAUUUUUUCAAAUCCCGCCGGCCAACUCGUGUCGCCACACACGAACGGCUGGGAACGUCUCUGACGAUAACCUCAACCCCCUCAGGACGAUCCGUCCAGCUCAAGAAGGAAGACUAUCCUUGCGGCCUGAACAACUCGACCUCUGUUUACUCACGGCACACCCAAUCCGUUUUCAGCAAGGCGGGUUGGUCGCCGACAACGAACAAUCGUCACCACGUCAACAUGGUGACAAUCCGAGAACUACGGGACGGCCAGGCUUCCAGCACCAACUCAAGCACCGGCUCCGUCCCCACCGAGGUUAUAAACACCGAAGACGAGGACUAUGACCUGGAUUUCCCUUCAUACCCUCCGGGUUUCGACCGAUUCCCGAUAUUCCCCCCCCGGCGAGGGGAUAUUGUGUUCAAUGUCAGCGCCGACGAACCGGUCGUUGAUGGAGAAACAGAUGACCAGAGGCAACUCCGCGAACGGCGUAACGCCGAUCGCGCCCGACGACGCGCGGACGAGCAACAACAAAUGCCACCAAAUAAUCUCAACGAUGCCUUUGACAUGGUCGGGGACCAGCCAGUCUACAAAACGCCAAGCGCCAACGUGGCUGUCGCCAUGGCUAACCUGGAUCGGCUUCCCGACACCCCCGAAUGCCAGGGAGUCCGGACCAGCAUCCGAGCACACCUGAUCGCCGCAAUGGGACAGACGGCCACUCUGCUCAAGAGAGUCUAGGACGUCUCUUAUACGGAAGCCGUCUCCGACCAGACUAAUCAUAGCCGGGCCUCACCCAGCAGGCGUCACCGCAGCCGCUCCCCCGACAACCGUCGAGGGGACUCACGGCGCGACGAUGGUGGUCGGGACGCCGAUGGCCGCCGCAAGCAGAACCGCGUACGCGGCCAAGAGGAAGAUCAACACAGGGAUCUCCGCCACAACAUCCCUUCCAAAGAUGCCCGGGACCACAUCAACAGGCGCGCUGCAGAGAGAGCAGUCCACGAAAACCUGCGCCGCAUCGAGUACGAUGCAACACACGGUCCCCCGGGCCUAAGACAGUUCUCCUCGCACCUCCGCCAGGUCGUGUGGCCCCGCAAUUUCAAGCUCGAAAAACUCAAAAAGUACGACGGCAAGGAAAAUCCAGAGAACUGGAUCACCCUCUAUGACAUCGCCGUCCGAUCAGCGGCAGGGGACGAGCACGUCAUGGCUAACUACUUCCCCGUAGUCCUCGACCAGGCUGGUCAUCAGUGGCUUCUCGGCUUGCCCGAGGACUCCUUCGACUCUUGGGAAGAGCUACGCCAGGCUUUCAUCGACAACUUCAUCGCCACAUGCGAGCAGCCUGGAAACAAGUAUGACCUUGAAAGGAUAAGGGACAGGAAGAACGAACCUCUGCGCGAUUACAUCCGACGAUUCUCGGAUAUGCGCCUCAAAAUCCCGAAGAUUUCUCAUGACGAGGCCAUCUCAGCCUUCAUCAAGGGCCUGCGUUUCCACGAAGCGCUGAGGAACAAGCUGUUGCGUAAGCGUCCAACAACGGUAGCAGAGCUCCUCGCCACGGCCAAAAAUUACGCCGAUGCCGAUGACGCAGAAAAACUAAUCCGAGACGAUGCGAGGGGUCCCGACCAGCCUCCCCGACGAGAUGAUGGUCGUGGUCGCAACGACAGCAGAAAUCACCGCCGCUCCGACAACCGCGAUCAUCGAGAGGGUUGGGAUCGGCGGCGCGACAGCCGCGAUGACUUCAGAGGAAAGCGCCCUCGCGACUACGACCACGAAGUAAAUACGGUCAAACGACCCAAUGGACGACGGGACUACCAAGAAGACUACAACAAAACGUUGAGGGGACCAUGCCAACUACACCCAAAGUCCAAUCAUACCAUGGAAGAGUGCCGCGUCCUCAAAAGUAUCUAUACACGGCGGGCCGCCCAAGACGACUCCGCCAAGAAAAACAACAAGCGCGACGCGCACGACCACGAAGAUGAGGAUGAGGACCAAGAUAGGGACCCCCGACACCAAUACGUCAGCCCCACUGACGUGGUCCACUCCAUUUUCGGGGGCAAGGUCUCCACUGAGUCCAAGCGAGAAAGAAAGCUGUUAAAGAGAGCCUGCCUCAACAUAGACAGCACGGACGGGCUGAUCGCAGACCCGAAAUUUCCCACGUGGUCCCACAGGGAGAUCUCGUUCAGCAGGAAGGACCAGUGGGCCGCUAUCCCAGAGCCGGGUCGUUUCCCCCUGAUUCUUGACCCCUGCAUCAACAGCAUCAGAUUCGAGCGCGUGCUCGUGGACGGGGGAAGCUCCAUCGACAUCCUCUUCCGCAACAGCCUGCCCGCCCUCAAGAUAUCCCCGGCACAACUAAAACCUUACGACGCCCAAUUCUGGGGGGUUUUGCCAGGUCAAAGUUCCGUGCCUCUCGGACAGAUAACAUUGCCUGUCCAAUUCGGCACACCCGACCACUUCCGGACAGAGUUCAUCAACUUCGUAGUCGCGGAUUUCGACGGGACCUAUCACGCCAUACUGGGCCGCCCAUCGCUGACAAAGUUCAUGGCAGUCCCGCACUACUCAUACCUAGUCCUUAAGAUGCCCACGGAGAAGGGUGUCCUAACCAUCAGAGGCAACGUCUACACUGCGUACACCUGCGAAGAAGAAAGCUUCAAGAUCACCGAGGCAAUUGACCUCUCAAUCCGCAUGGCGGAAACAGCAAACCAAGCCGCACAGCUGCCUCCCGACCAGCUCCGAUUACCCGAACAGGCGACAGCCAGGAAGAACUCAAAAUCCAAGGAGUACAAAGAAGUGCAGCUGGUCGAAGGCAACCCCGAGAAGACAGCCCUCAUCGGGGCCAACCUGGAUCCAAAAUAGGAAGACGCGCUCGUCAGGUUUCUAAGGGACAACGUGAGCGUUUUCGCAUGGAAACCCGCAGACAUGCCCGGUGUCCCACGAAACCUGAUCGAGCACUCCUUAAAUGUCUCGAAGACCGCAAGACCAAUCAAGCAAAAACUGCGACGGUUCGCUCGUGACAAAAAGGAGGCUAUUAGGACAGAAAUAACACGGCUUCUAGCAGCCGGAUUCAUAAAAGAAGUGUAUCACCCCGAUUGGCUCGCCAAUCCGGUUCUUGUACGCAAAAAGAAUAAUGAAUGGAGAAUGUGCGUUGAUUACACUGAUCUCAACAAACACUGUCCUAAAGAUCCUUUUGGUCUCCCUCGCAUCGACGAGGUGGUCGACUCAACGGCCGGAUGCGAACUCCUCUCCUUUCUAGACUGCUACUCUGGUUAUCACCAGAUCUCGCUAAAGGAAGAAGAUCAGAUCAAAACAUCCUUUAUCACACCCUUCGGCGCAUACUGCUACACGACCAUGUCUUUCGGACUCAAAAACGCCGGAGCCACUUAUCAAAGGGCCAUCCAGCAAUGCCUCCACGACGAGAUUCGUGAUGACCUCGUCGAGGCCUAUGUGGACGACGUGGUCGUAAAAACAAGGGACGCGAGCACCCUAAUCGACAACUUAGACCGAACCUUCAAGGCACUUAAUAGGUACAAGUGGAAGCUCAACCCCAAGAAAUGCAUUUUCGGCGUUCCUUCCGGUCUACUGCUCGGCAACGUUGUCAGUUGCGACGGCAUACGACCAAACCCUUCAAAAGUAAAGGCGGUACUCGACAUGCGACCACCGAAGAACGUAAAGGAUAUCCAAAAGCUAACAGGAUGUAUGGCCGCCCUCAGUCGCUUCAUCUCAAGGCUAGGAGAAAAAGGCCUCCCUUUCUUUAAACUGUUAAAAGCGUCGGAAAAAUUUUUUUGGACAGAAGAAGCCGACACCGCAUUCAACCAGCUUAAGACCUUCCUCACUUCACCACCUGUCCUUACAGCCUGGAGUUUCGCACAAGGAAACAAGAUGUGGAGAUCAAGCAGGAUUCUAGUCGGUUAGAAUAGAAAUUGAUAUCGAAUUAUCCAUGACAAUUGUAACCGACUAGGGUUAGUUUCCGGAUCUGUAACCCUGCCCUCCAGACUAUAUAAGGAGAGGCAAGGGACCCCCCUAGGACAUCAUAUUCUCUCAACACAAAUCAAUACAACCAGACGCAGGACGUAGGUAUUACGCCAACUCGGCGGCCGAACCUGGAUAAAAAGCUUGUCCGUGUCUUGCGUCACCAUCGAGUUCGUAGUUUGCGCACCGUCUACCGAUAAACUACUACCGUGGGUAUACCCCAAGGUAGACUGCCGACUAGCUUUCGUCGACAAGUAACUAGCCAUGUGUAUCUAAAUAGAGUAGAAUUGUAAAAGAGGACGAUGGUAAUCCUAGUGUACUAUUCUUGAGAUGUCUUGAAAUAAUAAAAUAUAGAAGGGCUUUGCACGAAAAGAGGAUGUGAAAAACAUGGCUUAUGCCGAGGCUGUUUGUUCGGUUAAAAAAAUAAGUUGAAAAUAAAGUAAUGUUCACUAAUCUAUUGUGUGAGAAAAAUAUUGUAUCAUAGCUGAUAAGUCUGUGUGUCAUUGUUAUAUUCGUAACAUAAAUUUGCAAAACUCUACAUUUCUCCCUUUUUUUUAAAAAAAAUGACAGACACGAGCUACCUUUUAUAUAGUACAGUCAGGCUUCUCCUUACGUGAUUGAGCAAAGCUCCUGCCAUUUCUUAAAAAAAUGCAAGCUCGGUUGAUAAGGGUUUUGCCGUUUGAGGCUUCCGUUGAGCAUCACGUUUGUGUAAACUCAGAAAAUAAACUAAAAGCUGCUGUGAAGUGAUUUCGUGGCUUUUGAUUUGUUCUGGAAGCUAAAUAAAUAUUAAAUAAAUUUAAUAAUAAAAAUACAGCUACAAAAUCAGCUUUUAUGUCAGAAGUACAAAAGGUACCGCUCAAACAAACUAGCCCUUAGGGGGGCGUUUGGUUGCCUACACCAGUCCUCCUGAGCCAGGCUCUCCGCGUGCGAGAACAGACAUUUGUUUGGUUGGCAUAUGUGCCGAGCGAGGCUACACGCGUGCAAAAAGCCUCUCGCAGCCAGGCUCUGCUGAAACGCAGAAAUCGGCCGUUUUUGUUGGGCCUGGCUCACCUCAUGCGAGCAAGCACUGAACGAUGCAUGACGUGUGAGAUAGAGAUACGUGAACACGGUGAACCAAACAGAUGCUGCUGUUGGCCUAGCUGUAGUGAUCCAAGUAACCAAACAAGAUGCUAUCGCAUACAUAGAGCCUGGUCAAAGUUGGCCUGACUAGCUCUGUGCGAGCUAGGCUCUACCGAGCAACGAACCAAACAGUCUCUAGAUGUCUUCUUCUCACUGUGUGAAAAAAUGGCAUUACAGACGCGCCUUUACUGAUAUCACAGAUGCUCCUGAGUGCGUCAGUGAUAUAAAGUCUGAUAAAUAUUUAAUAAGACCUUAAUACUGACGCACUUCUAACAUCCGUAUGUAAGUAACACAUAGACACGUCAGUAGUAAAGCUUUUUCAGCGACGCCUAUCUAGAACACACGUCAUUAAGGUCCAGCUCGUCAGUACAAAAUUCUAACUGCAGACGCUUCUUCAGGAAUAGGGGUCUGUAGUAAGGAUUAAGCCACAGACGCAUUAUCCAGAGACGCGUCUACAGUAUGAAUUAAAUUGUAACAGUACCAUCGGCAUAUCUCUGUACUAAAUACCUCAAUGAAACGACAUAAAUACACAUCAACAUCUCAUUAAUUAGUACACAGCUUUAACACAAUCAAAUACAGAUCAAAGUUUAAUCACUAAAUUAAAUGUGUAGCUCUAAUAAAGUCACGUUACCUUAUGGCUGGCUAUCGAAUAACUUAUUUUGUAGCUUGAUCAAAACUGGCUCGUGGUCACCAGCGCACCAUGUGUGUCCAUUCAUCCAUGGCAGCUUAGGCGCGUGGCUUUGGCUUUGUGUCUCCCACCUCUCUAGUGAACGCGAUAGCUCUUGAAGUUUUUAUAUUUUCCAAAAUAAUUUCAAUUUUAAACGCGUACUAAAACAAAUUCAGGGUUACUGAUACAAAAUAUGAGAUCGGGUCGUAGAAAAAAGUGCCGAGAGAAAAACUUUUAGAAUAAAAAUAUAGAAAACUUUUGAAGAUGAUUUCUUUUUUUACUCCUCAUGUUAAUCUAGGAGUUCAUAAACAUGAUAUUUUGGGGAAUAUAAUAUAAAAGAUCUCUUGGAGAUGCUAUCUUUUCUUCCACCUCUCUAGUGAACGGUAUAGCUCUUGAAGCACAAAUCCAAUUCUACGGACGUUCAUUCAUUCUACCUCUUGAAGCUUUCAUAUUUUCCAAAAUAAUUUCAGUUUUCAAGACAUAUUCACUGGAACAGCCUCCCAAUAUCUAUUCAAAAUGUAUUCACACGAAAAAGUAAAUAUAUAUUCCAAAUGAGCAAAAUUCCUUAUUUGGUCAAACUUGCGUAGGAUUCCAAAAGGGUUUUUUUGAACGGUGCCAUUACAAUUUCAAAGUAUUUGAAAUAUGCCAUUAUAAUUCAGGUAUCCUGAAGCGGACCAUUACAAUUCUUGCAAAAUUUGAAAUAUGCCAUUGGAUACGGUAGAAGGACGCUUGGGCCUGCUUGCAAGCCGACGUGGCAUACGGUCGACCGUAUGCGCCCGUCGCCGUGAGCCAUCUAAACGGCGCGGCAAAAAACGCCGUCUCCACCCCGCCCCUGACUCAUUCUCGCUCUCCAUCUCUCUGUCUCUCUCGAGCGUAACCCUAGGCGCGGCGGCGGCGGCGUGGCGGCGGCGGCGCAGGGGGAGGCAAUGGAAUAGGGGCGCAUGUCCAUGGCAGACGUGCCCCCGUGCACGGCGCAGCGCAGGGCGCCGCGGAUGGGGGAUAGCAACGAAAGGUAAUGUUUUGUCCUUCCAGAGCACGAAUACGAGUGCAUUAGGUCUUGAUCUGUUGAUUGGCAUUAGAUAUUGAUGUGAUUUGGUUGAUGCUAGGGUUCCGCUAUUUUCUUUAGAAAUUAAAGUGGAAGCAUUCUGUUGGAGAGACUCUUUGGGUAGGAAAGCUUACACAAAGGGCUCUGUAAUUAAGUGGGAUGUGGAGAUUGGCUCGUUUUCAUUUGAUGUACUGAUGGCCAGCUUGCGCAAUGCUGUCAAUUGCUCUACUACUCAGUGUCCAGUUGCUUGGUUCUAUGAUAAAAGGUUGUCUCAAGAUGUCAUGCUAGAAAAUCAAUUCCAGAUUAAUGAUAUGUUUGAGAUGUAUAAGGAGGAGAUGCAUUGCCACAUUGUCGUAGGGGUAUUUGAUCAGUCUGUUCCCACUAUUGAUCAAUUUGAUGAACUAGAUCUUCCUCCUGACACUAGCACUGGCAACCCAGCCAGUACUGACAGUUAUGUUAACCAGCCCACAUUUGAGGCAGAUGUUGCACCAGAGGCUGAAGUUGAGACUCAACUUGAGCCUGAUAGGGAACCUGAUAUGUUUGAUAACGAUGAGGAGUAUGUGGGUUGUGAUGAUGAGGGCAUGUACAUGCCAACACCACCAACACAGCCUCCUAGUAAUUCACCUCCACAUGCUUCUCAUGAUGCUGAAAAUGCUGAUGCUGAUGCUGAUGCUUUUCCUGUUGAGGCAGAGGUCACUGAUGCAGACCCUGAAGAGAUCAAUAUCAUUCAUGACCCAGAACAUCCCAAGAUUGUAAAGGGGGAGUUAUUUCCUGAUAUUGUUUCAUUCAGGAAAGCUAUCAGGCAUUUCUCUGUUACUAAAGGCUAUGUGUUAGCUGGUAUCAAAACAGACCCAUCAAGAUUUAUUGCAAAGUGCAAAUCCGAGGGAUGUCCUUGGCGCAUACAUGCAUCUAGGCUGCAGGGUAGAAAGACAAUACAGGUAACUGUCUAUUCACUAGUUCCUUUGUGCAAGUUUUAUUUUUUCUUUACCUGACAUGUUUCGUAUGCACAGAUCAAAGUACUGCCUGCAGAAGAUGGCAUCACAGUCUUGGUGUGCAGAUAGGCUGGCAGAUUGGAUAAAAAAACAUCCAACAAAACGUGCAAAAGAGUGCAGGGAGAAGUUGGAAGAUGAUUAUGGCAUCAAGCUGAAGUAUUCAAAGGCUUGGUCAGGUAUGCAGUGCGCAUUGGAUCAAAUCCAUGGUAAAUAUGAGGAAAGUUUUCAACUGCUAUUCAAUUGGGGUGCUCAAAUUGAAAAGGUAUCUCUUGGUAGCACUGUAGUGGUAGAGGUUGACAAAAUUGGUAAGAAGAACAGAUUCAAAAGAAUGUUUGUUGCUCUAAAGCCUUAUGUAGAUGGAUUCUUGGCUGGUUGUAGGCCUUUUUUGGGUAUAGAUGCAUCUUGUUUGAAUGGAAAGUAUAGAGGUCAGCUAGCUUCAGCAACCAGUGUAGAUGGACAUAAUUGGUUGUAUCAUGUAGCUUAUGGCAUUUUUGACAUAGAAAAUGAAGACAACUGGACAUGGUUCUUGCAACUUCUUAGUAGAGCAAUUGGGCCUGUCCCAAAUCUUGUAGUUUGUACAGAUGCAUGCAAAGGCGUGGAGAAUGCAGUGGGUAAAACUUUUCCAACAGCUGAGAAUAGGGAAUGCAUGAGACAUAUGUACCAAAACUUUUAUGAAGCACUAUUCUAGUGAUGUAUUCACAGACCACCUUAUCCUACAGCUAGAAGUUACACUCAAGAAAAAUUCCAGUGGCACAUGAAUCAGAUACAUGAGUAUGCUCCUCAAGCUAUAGAAUAUAUUGAGAAUUACCACAGCAGGAUAUGGUACAGGUGUGGGUUCUCAGAAAGUAGCAAGUGUGAUUAUUUGACCAACAAUGUGUCAGAAAGCUUCAAUGCACAGGUGAAGCACCUCAAAGGUUUAUUAUUACAUGAACUGGUAGAUGUUGAUAUUUGGUAACGCAAUAAGGAAAUAAUCCGCAAGCGCACGGAUAUCGGUGAGCAUUUCACCCGGGAGGUUUUCCAGAGUAUCGUAUUUAUAUUUUUACCACUGGGAGAAAGGGUGCAUCUGACUAACCAAAUCUAUUGCUACUAUCCCUUUAGGCUACAAAGAAUGUUUCUCAAUGUGAGUGAUAUAUAGAGAAGACUGCAACCGUAGUCUCGUUCUAACCUUGGUAAGGAUGAUCUACUGUUCUAUUGGGGAAGCUUACGGAAUCUAGACACCACAAAGGAUGUUUGACCCGCACCUAUAAACCUACCCGUCCUGCUAACAAGAUAUGGGAUACAAAGGUAACUCGGAAAUGUCACGUUCCUCGCUACUACCACGGUCCAGCUAGUCAGGGGAUAUCUAUGAGUACCCUAGUGAAAGGUCCUAAUAUGGCUAGAGGGGGGUGAAUAGCCUAUUUAAAAAUUCUACAAACUCACUAGAGCGAGAGGUUAGUAAAUAACAAAGCGAAGCCUUUUGCUCUAGCUCUAAUGGGGUGUUUGCAAGCCACCUGUCCAACAAUUCUAGUUGAUAUAAUCACUAGACACACAAGAGCUAUGUCACUACUUACACUAGAAAGCUACCUAAAGUUUCUAUACAAGUAAGUAAGCUACUCUAGUUUGCGGGAAUGUAAAAGAGAUGGUUUUAACUUUAUACCGCCGCAUAGAGGGGAUGAACCAAUCACUAAUAUGAAGUCCAAUCACCGGGAGAAAUCCAAUGAACAAUCACAAUGGAUACACACAAUUUUACUCCCGAGGUUCACGUGCUUGCCGGCACGCUACGUCCCCGUUGUGUCGACCAACACUUGGUGGUUCGGUGGCUAAGAGGUGUAGCACGAACCUCGUCCUCACUAGGACACCACAAGAACCUACCCACAAGUGAGGUAGCUCAAUGACACGAGCAAUCCACUAGAGUUACCUUUCGGCUCUCCGCCGGGGAAGGUACAAGACCCCUCACAAUCACCGGGAGAUGGCCACGAACAAUCACCAACUCGUGCUAAUCCUCCUCCGUUGCUCCAAGCCGUCUAGGUGGCGGCAACCACCAAGAGUAACAAGAAAACCGCAGCUAGAACGAUCCCCAAGUGCCACUAGAUGCAAUCACUCAAGCAAAUUCACUUGGAAUCACUCCCAAUCUCACAAAGAUGUUUAAUCUAUGAAGGAGAUGAGUGGGAGGUGUUUGCUUAGGCUCACAAGGAUGUUAUGUAUGUUAGAAUGCCAAGAGAGUGAGCCCCAAGCCGGCCAAACACGUAUUUAUAAGCCCCUCAAGCAAAUAGAGCCGUUGGCACUUUCACUGGGCAAACUGCGGGGUCACCGGACGCUCUCAAAGGGGCACCGGACGCUCAACACCAGCGUCCGGUGCUCCAACGUCAGCCAUGUGUCGCCUUUUGAAAAACUCGUGUCAGAGUCUAACGGUCACCUGCAGUGCACCGGACGCUAAGCAAGUUAGCACCGGACGCGUCCGGUGCACACCGGACUCAUGCGCAGAGAGCUCCGCAAACUCGCACGGUCACCGGACGCAAGCCACCGGACGCACCCUGAGCAUCCGGUGCUCACCGAACUCAUGCGCAGAGAGGGUUGCAAAACGCCCUCACACCGGACGCUAACCACCGGAAGCGUCCGGUGCUCACCGGACCCAUGCGCAGAGAGGGUCGCAAAACGCCCACACACCGGACGCGCACCACCGGACGCUCAAGCCAGCGUCCGGUGCCUAUCGUCCGGUGCCUUACCCUAGCUGGGCCAGGCACUGUCUGCACCGGACGCUCAGACGCAGCGUCCGGUGCUCCAGAAGCCAGCGUCCGGUGAGUGUUUUCUCAGCGAGAAACACUCCCACGACUACUCCAAAUUUCCUACCGACGCAAUAGAAAAUAUGCAUUUUAUUUUCUCGAAAAGCGCCGAAUCCCACCUCGCAAGCUCGGCGGGAGGGAGAGAGGAACCCAUCCUCUCUCUACGUACUCUUCAAACUCCACCUCCUUCUCAAAGUGUGCCAACACCACAAGUGUAAACCAACAAGUGUGCACGUGUGUUAGCAUUUUCACAAUCAUUUUCUUAGAAGGAGUUAAGUUAGCUCACUAGGUUCUAAAUGCAUACACAUGAACAAUGACACCUAGUGGCACUUGAUAACCGCUUAGCCAAAGAAUUCCCCUCUUUAUAGUACGGCUAUCUAUCCUAAAUGUGAUCACACCCUCUAUGGUGUCUUGAUCACCAAAACCAAAACCCUAAGCAAUACCUUUGCCUUGAUCUCCAUAGGGUUUUGUUUUUCUCUUUCUUCUUUUCCAAGUUGAGCACUUAAUCAUCUUGUGGUCAUCACCAUGAUCAUCAUGAUCAUCACUUGCUCCAUCACUUGGCAUGUACCAACCUCAUUAAGUCUACACACACUUAGUAUAGAGGUUAGUACUAGGGUUUCAUCAAUUAUCCAAAACCAAACUAGGGCUUUCACCUAGCCUAAACACCACGUUUACGCUAGCAAUAAUUACUCUAAUACUCAACCGGAAGAGGAUUAAAUUAAACUCAUAAACCAAAGAACAAUAAAACAAGAACUUACUAGAAUUAGAAGUCGAAUUACUGAAGAAUCUUAGAAGCAAGCCUCGGGUUAGAAGACUUGAUCCCGCAGGUACAACUCGGAGUAGACACCGACAGGUCGGCCUUCCUCCGAUCUACACCUCCACUCUAUCUCUCUCAAUCUAGUAGAAACUAGAAGAUCUAUUUCUACUUACAUUGGUUGCUAAGCCUAAAAAAAUAUUAUUUAGAGAAGAGGUUUUCCUUCGAGGGCACCCCUCAAUCUCUAUGAUAACUUCUUGUCUUCUCCAGGGGCCAGGGGGGUCUCCUUAUAUAGUCCUCCUCCUCUAUGCGUUUUUGGGUCGGUAGGCGAUGUGGUACUACAUUAUCCUUGAUCCAUUAGGUCGGUGGAACAUCGUGUGCGAAGAGAGUCCCGAACGGAGUCUAGGACACGGCGGGCGCCCAGGGAAAGAGGGCGGGCGCCCUGGGCCUGGCCCCUUUCGGCCUCUGCUUUCUUCCCGUGGCUUCUGGAGUCUUCUAGAUGGUAGAAAAUUACGCGGUGCGUUGAUAUCUCUAUGUAAUCCCGACAUGUGGGCCUUUCUUCCGUAUUUUUUGAUAACCCCCUGCAGAAAUAGACAAACACCAAAACUCAUGGAAUUCUGUCAGAUAAAACCCUAAGUCUAGAUGUUGAUUUCAUUUGGAUCCUUUUCUUUGUUUAUUUGAUAAUUAAAUUUGAUACUUAAGGACCGUCAACAGUAGACAGAAUUAGAGAGCUUAUAAUGGAGAAGAGAUAUUUGAGGAAGAAAGUUGCUAGGCAGUGGGAAGAUGGAAUCCUCCCAAAUGUGAUGAAGGAUUGUUGGGUAUUCUUAACAUCAUUACCAAAAGUAGACUAAGUUCUCUAAAUCUAGUAACGGUGCCAAAAAUGCCAAACCUAUCCCUCACACCACUUAAGCCAAGUUGUCAUCCCCAGCAUGACAUGAGAGACGCGGUAUUGAAAUAUGCAAUUGCUCUUCUAAAUAAAUAAUGAAUGAGAUCUGCAAGCGCACAGAUUAAUACCGAUGUAGCAUUUUAACCGGGAAGUAUUCUAGGUAUCGUUAUUUAUAUUUUUACCACUGGGAAGGGAUUAGCAAUCAUCACUAUUGAUUACAGAAUAGAAUAUGAGAUUGAGCAUCUAUCAUUGCAUGUAUAAUUGAGAACAUUUAUCUAACUCUUCAUACAGGGAUAAGUGUCACAUAAAAGAUAUAUGAAAUAAUAAUAGUGACAAGGAUAACUAAUCUGAUCUAGCCACAUAAUAAAUAUGAUAAGCACCUCAAUUAGAUACUCUAGAAAGUCAUUAGCAUGGUAUUAGAACGAACUAUAAGAAUAUUCCCUAAGUUAUUCUCAACUAUAUAGUUUAGCAUUAUCAUAGUUAGUGCAAGCAUACUUAGCAAUCAUUGUGAGACAAGACUACGCCCAUGCAUAGUGAUAUUAGCAAGGAAUAUGAGAAACAUAGCAAUCACUCCCCUAUAAUAAUGUUGCUCUGCCAGCCCAAUACACGAGAGGGGGACUAUAUAAGAAUCAAUGAAGCUGUCACUAUCACGAACCACCCCACGAUCUGGCAUAUUGGGUACAAUCGCAGAUAAAUAUGGUAUAAGCACCACGCCUACACAAUAUCUAUCAUUUACCCAUGGAUCCGAUGGAUAAACGCUAUACGAUCCUAAGCAUGUAUAUAGAUCGAAUCUAACUAAGCCAAGUACAUAACUAUGAUAAACUAAGAACAAUAUAAUCUUGAAUAUAAGCAAGUAGAGCAAAGUCAUAAGCAAUAUAUUGAAGUAGAACAAAGUCAUAUUUAUAAUAUUGAAGAACAAAGAUAAUUAGAAAGUAAUUAGAAGCACAAUUAGAGAAUUACCAAGAAUCCUCUUGACAGAUCCGGAAACCAAUCGAAGAUUGACUCCUUCUAGUUCUAAUCCUAUGUAGCUAUGCUAAUCUAGAUAUCUAAUUGAUGUGGUGGCUCUAAUCUUGAUCAGAGGCUUCUUCUCCCUUGAAGAACAAUGAAUUAGGGUUGAGAGGCUCCCCCCUCUAGGGGCCAGGGGGUCUGGUUUUAUAGUCCCUUCAAGUGAAUAUGGGCCGUUGGAUCAAACCGACAUAGAUUGUAUGGUUUAGAUUCAUCCUUUAGGUCGGUGGAAAUCUCCCACGAAGCAGAGUCCUGAUUGGACUCAGGAGGUGGGCGGGCGCCCUGAUCACCUGGGCGGGCGCCCAGGGUCACGCCCCGUUUCGCCUCCGCUUCGGUUUCGUGGCUUCUGGAGUCUUCUAGAUGUAAGAUAAUUGCGCGACACGUUAAUAUCUCUAUGUAAUCCCGACGUGUGGGCCUUUCUUCCGUAUUUCCUGAUAACCCCCUACAGAAAUAGACAAACACCAAAACUCGUGGAAUUCUGUCAGAUAAAACCCUAAGUCUAGAUCUUGAUUUCAUUUGGAUCCUUUUCUUUAUUUAUUUGAUAAUUAAAUUUGAUACUUAAGGACCAUCAACAAGGAUCUCAACCUGAUCAGUACUCAACUCAAUGUAGUCAAGGUCAAAGUCAGUGAUGAUAACACUGCUGAAGUUACAAUCCUGGAGUGGGAGAAGCAAAGGAGGCACACUGUGGACCUAGGAAACCACAAUUGUUCCUGCAGGCAGUGGCAAGUGACUGGAAAGCCAUGUAAGCAUGCUUUGGCUUGGAUACUGUCAAUCCCAGGGAUGAGAAUUGAGGAUUAUGUACAUGAGUACUAUUCAGUUGCUAGAUUUAAGGCAGCUUAUGCUGAUAGGAUUGAGCCUAUCCCAGACAAGGAUGAAUGGCCUGUUGUCAACCUUGGUUUUAAAGUGUAUCCUUCAUUGCUAGGCAGAGGUCCAGGAAGGCCAAGGGUUGUAAGAAUUAGAGGGACUUUUGAGCAGAGGGCCACGAAGAAGAAAGUUAGGUGCAAGAGAUGUGGUGACUUUGGACAUUUUUCCAAGACCUGCAAGUUGCCAGAACUAGGUGAAGAUGGAGAAAGAGGACAAGGGUCUUCAAAAAGGUAUUAAAACUAUUGUCUAACCAUUUUAUUAUUUUUUCCUAUGUACUAAGAUCUAACCGGCUAUUGUCAUCUCAACGCAGAAAGAGGCCGACUCAGCAAGUGUCAUCACAGGAAGCUCCAACGCAGGAAGUACCAACACAGGAUGAUGCUGGACCUUCCCAGGUGAAGAAGACCAAGCCUCUGAAGAAGGUUACAACUAAGAAGAAGAAGAAGACACCAAAGAAAACAAAGCUGCAGAGGGAAGCAGCUGCACCUGGGAAGGCUGUUAUCAGCAGCAUCAGGCACCUGAUCUAUGAUGCUCCACAGGAUGCUGAUCUAUGAUUCUCCACAGGAUGCUGAUCUAUGAUGCUCCACUUAUAUGGCUUUGUUCUGAACCUUACUAUGUAAUGAGGCAUUAGAAUGCCAACUUGGAACUUGUAUGGCUGAUGCUGCUACUAUGUAAUGAGGCAUUAGAACUUGCCAACUAUUUUCAGUCAUGUGAACUCUACUUAUGUUAGUUUGUACUCUCCUGUAUUGUGUCAAUUAUCAUGUGAACUCUACUUAAAAUGUUAAGAAAACAAGACAAAGUGCUGCAGAAAUUCUAAUAUAUUUUGAAGCUGAAAUUCUAAUCUAUUUUCAGUGACAAAAGGCAUAGGACAAUGCUGAUCAUACUCAUCGAAGAAACUCAGUGACAAAAUGCUUGUUCUUUCAUUGCAAAUACACAUAAUUACAGUCACUUCAUCAUCUGAGAAAAACCUACACCUAGCAGUACACCCACAAGGACACCUACAACAACAGAUACAUCCAACACAAUUUGCAUUUUCCCCUUCCUGCCCAAGUCCAGUGCUGGACUCUGAUUACUAACUUGACUAGGAACAGCAACAACAUCUCUGUCUCCAAGUUGCACCUUCAUUUUCUCAAGUUCAGUGACAACUCUAUCUAGAGUUUGCUUCAUCUCCUUGUCCCGUUGAUUCAAAUCAUCAUUAGGAUCCCCAACUGCUGAAUGAAGGGGCAACUGCAGCUGAAUCUCUUUCUCCUUUUGCUUCAUAAACCAUGCCUCGUACUGCUCCUCCGAACGAAUCCAGCCACAAGUUGUUGGAUCACCCUGUGCAAGCAACACCAGUCAAAUUGAAAACAAAGGAAGCACAUUCAAGGGCAUAAACAAUGCAAAUAGUUACCUUUACGUUGUUUGGGCACUUGAUGAAUGCGACAUCCUUUGAGUGCUCUUGCUUGCUCACGAUUCGGAUCAAAGGAACAUUGCACACUGGGCAGUUCAGUAGGGGGCACUGCACCCUUCUACUGCCAGCAGCGGAAGAGCUCGAGGCCAUCUUCAUCUGCAGCGCCGCCGUCGGGAUCGUGGCACCGGAAUCGCCGCCGCCGCGCCUAGGGUUACGCUCGAGAGAGACAGAGAGGUGGAGAGCGAGAAUGAGUCAGGGGCGGGGUGGAGACGGCGUUUUUUGCCGCGCCGUUUAGAUGGCUCACGGCGACGGGCGCAUACGGUCGACCGUAUGCCACGUCGGCUUGCAAGCAGGCCCAAGCGUCCUUCUACCGUAUCCAAUGGCAUAUUUCAAAUUUUGCAAGAAUUGUAAUGGUCCGCUUCAGGAUACCUGAAUUAUAAUGGCAUAUUUCAAAUACUUUGAAAUUGUAAUGGCACCGUUCAAAAAAACCCAUUCCAAAAUAGAAAGUCCUUUUCCUUCCCAAACAGAAAACCAUGUUUAUCUGCCAACAGUUUCUAACCCAUGGGUCCCACGGGUGCCAACGGUUUCCCUCUUGAUCCUCCCCAAUCGCCCGCUCACACCACCACGCCGCCACGCCGCUCAUCGUUAACUUCCUGCCCUCCACGGACUUAUCCGCUCGUCGCGCCCGCCUCAAGCUAAUGACGAAUCUAAUGAGUAGAAGAGUGAGGGCAUGUGUCCUUAAGGAAAAAAAACGUCUUCGACCAGAAAUCUCCACCUGCCGCGCUGUGGAGUUCUCGUGCUGGGGCUCCUCCCCGUGCGUCGCCACGGUGCCGUGGCUGACCACACGAGCGCGGCUUGGCAUGCGUCUAAAGAUACAGUGGCCGUUGUUGGAGAUGACCUUGAAGCUGUGCAUCUGCCAUUCUGCCUUCCAUUGGUGCCUAUGGGGUACACUGUCAAACAGCGCUGGUGCCCCCUCCAUCGGCGCGGGAGGAAGAAGAUGACCAGGUUGAGCGGUGUGGAACCGUCGUAAACGAAUCUGCGCGGUUUCUCCCAACACGGUUGACUGUGGGCUGAUUUACGGGUACACGGUUAGUAUACAGCAUCGUACAUACCACUCAUAUAUAUAGUCAUAUAUAACAUCUCAAGUCCAUACACGGCACACUGCUUAGAGAACCUUUAUUUAUUUUGUAUGAAAAAGGGACAUGAAAGAAAACCAUUCUCCGAAUAUAUCAAAACAUGUAUAAGGCUGCCCGUGAAGUAGAAUCGCAUCCCCAUCCACAGAUUUAGUUGUAGGCGUCGGGGUUGGCGACGAGGUAGGCCUCGGCACCCUUGAAAAUGGCGGUGAGUGCCUCCUUGGCCUUGGCUUCCUCGUCCUUCUCGUCCAUGCCCGGCAGCAACUUGUAGGUCGACUCCACCUUCACCACGCUGCCGCCGUCGGCCGUGGGCUCCACCUUGAUGUGUGACGCCGCGGUCUCGAUGGCAACACCGAUGCCGCCGCCCUCGACGAGCGUGUUCUUGCACUCGCACUUGUCCACGUCCAGGAAAUCGAGCCUCUCCUUCAUGAAGCUGAACGGCAUGACUGCAAGAACGAUCGCGCACGUCAUUCGCUAGCUAUUUGAUCGAUCGAUCGGGCGACAACAUGUUGGUCUGGGCGACUGGGCAUGCUGCGGACACUUACAUGAGGUGAAGUUGAACUGCCUGACGCUGCCAACGCCGCCGUCGCCCUCCACGGGGUGGGCGCUGGCGACGACGUGGGAGGCGACCUUGGGCGCCAGGGUGUGCCAGUCCAUCACGGCGGCGCGGAACAGGCGCGGCGCGGCCACCGGCGACGGAAUCUCCAGGGUCCAGCUGCUGGCGGAGGCCAUUACUUCAGUGAUCGGCCGAGAUAAACUAAACUAGGUGCGAGCCGAAGCUGCUUAGGUGCUUGUGCUGCUGCAGGUGGUUUUAGGAUUGCGCUUUUGCUUGCGUUGCCAUUAGAGUGGCGGACGGAGGACUUUAAAUAGGCGGUUAUGGCGGGGUUGGUGGCGUCCCGUGAGGAUGAGACGCUCGGGAGUCGUCGUCGGCGGCUCUUCCCACUUUGGCUUGGCACGGCACCGUCGCUCGUCGGUCCAUGUAGUUCAUUAUAAUAUACUACAUGUUGCCGGGGUUGCGGACAAACGUCUGGAAACGUGCUGCCAUUCCGUCAGCGUUCAACCCCUGAAGGUGUAGAAUAUAUAUCGUCGAAUUGGCGAGCCAAAUCAGCUUCCAGAUCAAAAAGCAUGUACUGUAAGCGUGGGUUGGUGUCAUUAGAAACGAGAAUUAUACCGUACGUGAGCGUCCUGACUACUUGCAUCACUCUUUUGGUGUCGCACUGUCGCUAUUAACUACUAAUAAUAAACAUAAUCCUGUAAAUCCACCUCUUUUUAAUCAUCCUAUAAAUACCUCUACUGGCGACAGCAUGGACAAAGCUCAUACGGAAAAUAACAUAGUGGUGGCCAAAGCUGUAUGGGAAAAUAUUGAUUGCAGACUAUCAAUUGGGUGCAAAAGUACUCAGUGUAAACUAUUAAUUAAGUGCAAAUAUAAAGACAAUUGCUAUGUCACAGUUGAUUGUUUUAGCCUCCGUGAAUAACUGAUUUCCUGGCCGUUUGAUUCUUAUCACGUGGGAUGAAAGAAAGACCAACAACGCUGCGGAAGCAGAGCGUGAGGAAGGACCGAAGGAGCCACCAGGGGUCCACUGAUGUCGCCAUUAGCACCAAGGAGAGGCCGUCGUCAGAGUCAGAGUCAGGGUUGUAGAGGGCUAUCACGUCCGUUGUCGAGGUCGGGGUGGGGUAAAGAUGGCAAUGGAUAAUUACCCGCUGGGUAUAUGCUACCCAUACCUUUACCGAUGAGAAAAUAUUUUACCCGUUAAUUUACAUAUCCAUGUAUGGGUAAGAGUUUUUUCCCAUACCCUUACCCACGUGGGUAACGGGUAAUCCAUGAGUUUUCUUACCCAUGAUUCUAAGAAUACUUGUAAAAAAUAAAUACAUAUUUAAAUAUUCUAGACUCCCAAUUUCAGCCAAAGUAUCAUAAGUCAUUAAUAAAAUCAUCAAAUAUACAAGCUCCAUGAAUACCUAAUCAAGUAAUCUAAUAGAUAAAUCCAUCAUUACUAGACAACAAGUGACAAAAUUUACAAGUUUCCGUGUUGUGCGGCCGCCGCAAGGAGAUAGGGGAAAGGUGAGAGAGCGGAUGUGUGAGGUACUAAGGUGAGGGCCUAGAGUUUGACAGCAUUAUAUAUGAUUUUUAUUGGACUUGGCCUGUGUAUGGUGAUUUUGGUCCAUAAUUCUAACUUAUUGAAUCGGGUCCAAUCCCAUACCCUUACUCGCUUUACCCGCUGGCUAAAGCUUUUUCCCAUUAUCUUACCUAUGGAUAAAAAAAAUAGUCAUACCUUUACCCUAAUGAAGUAAUUAACCAUCGGAUUUCGAGUAAAAAUUGACAUCUUUAAGGUGGGGAAUGGCCGCCGCAUCUACCAUAGCCACCUGCUUCCUGAGAUCCAUGGGGAAAGAGCCCGCCGCUAGCCGAGGGUGAGGAGCCGCCGCCUCUGUGUGGCCAACUUCAUGUCGGGCCUCUACCGUGGCGGGGGUAGCUCACAGAAGGGAAGGGAUAAAGUUGGUGAGGGUGGGUCCCACCAUAAUUGGUGAAUAAUUUGCCAUGUAUUUCUCUAAUAUCUACUAUCUAAAGAAAUAUUUUGUAUUUUUUUCUGAAAAGUUUGGCAUAUUUGUCUUUGAGAUAUGUAAUCUAUAAAAAUACCUAAGAUAUAUCACUAUAUCCAAUAAAUGACACUAUGUGUUAGCAUUUUCUCACUACAUUUUCAAAGGUGUUAACACACUAGAUUCUAAUGCAUAUGCAUUAUCAACAACAGCUAGUGACACUUGAUAAACCGCUUUUAACCAUAAUUUUCCUCUCUUUAUAGUACAGCUAUCUAGUCGACUAGUCCAAACCCAAUUAUAUCCUCUAUGGUAUCUUGAUUGGCGAAACAAGAAUGGCCCUAUCACAUACCUUUGCCUUAAGCUCAUUUUUAUUUUUCUCUUUCUUUUUUUCCAAGUUGGAGCACUUGAUCUUCACACUUGACCACCUCCAUCAUCUAUAGAUGCCAUAAUCUAGCUGGUGUGUACCAAUCCUAUUUCCUAUCUUAUAUACACCUAAAGCAAUGGUUAGUAGACUUAGAUCUCAUCAAUUAUCCGAAACUAAACUAGAACUUUCAUGUAGUGACACAACAUCUACUUUCUCUCACCCUUCCUCUUUCAUGGAAUGCAAGCAUUCAUACAUCAUUAGUAUGUUGUAUGUAAUGAGUCUCUCUAGCACAAACACCGACUGUUCUUCCGAAAUCACCUUUGGGAAAAAAUAAUCCACAGUCUGUUUGCCACCGUCUUAGAAGCAAUCUUAUAUAUCAUGUUACAUAGACUGAUGAUAGGCCAAAACAGCCCGCUCGACCAACUUCUCCACUUUUGUGAUCAAUACUAUUCAUGUGCUAUUUAUCACAGAAGGAUCAUCCUCGCCACAUAAGUCCUAGUGCCGCUAAAAAAAAUGAGCAGGAAAACCAUCUGGCCCCGGCGUUUUUGUCUUAAACAUGUGAGAAAGCUUAGUCCUGAUCUCCUCCUUUCGUAUACAAGGCGAGUGUCCUGACAACUACUUGCAUCACUCUUUUGAUGUUGCACUAUCGUUGUUAGCCUUAUCAUUAACUCCUUUCCUCUCUAAUCUCUAGAAUUAAGCAAAGAUUUGAAUGCUUUCUCAAUUUACCAUCAUAUAAUUAUUAUAUUAUAAUAUAAUCAAAUAAAUACACCUCUUUUUAUUCAUCCCGCAAAUAUAUCUAGUGGCAAUGAGUAUGGAAAGAGCUAAUACGAAAACUAUCAUAGUGGUGGCCAAAUACAUGAGAAAAUAUUCAGUGCAAACUAUAGAUUGGGUGCAAACAUAAACCCUUUAUAACAUAAUUAGAUGUUUUCUUAAAAAAAUGCCCACUUCGCCACUAAAGUUAAGAUACAAAGAAAUGGGGUGGGGGUGUGAUGCAAAGAUAUUGGAGAGUGAAUCUCUUCUUUCAAACCUCCCAAGAAACUAGUCACAAAGUAAACAUAAUCGUAGGAGCUAUUGUACAAUAGAAUUUGAUGCGCAGGCUGUUCAAGCUACUCAAAUUACUGUGACCGAACUAGUCUACUGAAGAUGAUUGUUUCAUACAUAACUCAUAUUGGUCACGAUUAAAAUAAUUACAAACCGCAUCACAAGAGCAGGCCAAGAUGUGAAACAACCACACAACUCUUUAAAUUGUAACCAAGUGGCAGCGGUCCUCCAGAACUCAAUGCAACAGAGCUAGGCUUCAAUGUCUCGCUGAUAGAGUACAUCUCAAAAUAGAUCUUACAGUGAUCCUUCCACAACCAUAAAUUGUCACCAUCAAAUUUGGGGAAAUAUGAUUUGGGCAUCGGACCAACUGGAGAUGUAUAAGAAUAUGAAUGUUCCAUCGGUCCACCUAUCAUUCCCUUGUACUUGCGUGCCCGUUAGUUAGCUAUUAUGUUCCUCUUUUUUAUUGGAUCCCAAACACCUCUGCUUCUAGACCAACUUCCAUCGUCGUCUACACAUAUCCCAUGGAGUUAGAGCAAGUUUAAUUAAUACAGUCCACUUGCUGACUGUAAGGUUCCUUACAGCCUUCUUUCAGCCCCACCCAUACAAUAGUUAGUUAUUCAUUAUUAAUACAUGACUCACUUAUCUCUCUUACAAAGUUUUCAGCUUACAACAUGCUUCUCUUCUCUCUCCUCCACCUCAGUAUUUAGCCAGCUUACAGCCCACUAUAAUACUUGCUCUUAUGACAAAUGCCUACUUCUCUCGCCUUUUUAGUGAACACUAUAACUCCUGGAGUCUUCAUAUUAUUCGAAAAAUAAAUUCAAAUUUCAACAAUGACACAUUCAGCAGAAUAAAAAGUCUCCAAAUUUCUAUUAAAAAAGAGCAAACAUUCCUUAUUCAGUCAAACUUGCAAAGGAUUUCAAAACAGAAGACCUCGUAUAACCAUGAGGGUGUAAGUAAUCUCACAAACAAAGCAUCACAAACCACUUAUAAUCUCAAGUCCAUACACGGUACACCACACACUGCAUAGAGCAACUUUAUUUUGUUUUGUAUGAAAAAAGAGGAAAACUCCAGGAAAGAAAAAAGAAAAUUAAACCCAAACUUCAGGAAGGGGAAUCGCAUCCCAAUCGACUGAUUUAGUUGUAGGCGUCGGGGUUGGCGACGAGGUAGGCCUCGGCACCCUUGAAAAUGGCGGUGACUGCCUCCUUGGCCUUGACUUCCUCGUCCUUCUCGUCUACGCCAGGCAGCAGCUUGUAGGUCGACUCCACCUUCACCACGCUGCCGCCGCCGGCCGCGGGCUCCACCUUGAUGUGCGACGCCGCGGUCUCGAUGGCAACACCGAUGCCGCCGCCCUCGACGAGCGUGUUCUUGCACUCGCACUUGUCCACGUCCAGGAAAUCGAGCCUCUCCUUCAUGAAGCUGAACGGCAUGACUGCAAGAACGAUCGCGCACGUCAUUCGCUAGCUAUUUGAUCGAUCGAUCGGGCGACAACAUGUUGGUCUGGGCGACUGGGCAUGCUGCGGACACUUACAUGAGGUGAAGUUGAACUGCCUGACGCUGCCAACGCCGCCGUCGCCCUCCACGGGGUGGGCGCUGGCGACGACGUGGGAGGCGACCUUGGGCGCCAGGGUGUGCCAGUCCAUCACGGCGGCGCGGAACAGGCGCGGCGCGGCCACCGGCGAUGGAAUCUCCAGGGUCCAGCUGCUGGCGGAGGCCAUUACUUCAGUGAUCGGCCGAUCGACUAAACUUGUGCUAGCUGAAGCUGGUUAGGUGCUCAGCUCUAUGGGUGGCAGCUACUGCUUGUGUUGCCAUGACACUGGCGGACUGAGGGCUUUAAAUAAUAGGCCGUUAUGGCGGGGGUUGGUGGCGUCCCGUGAGGAUGUGUAUGAGACGCCCGGGACGGAGUCGUCGUCGGCUCUUCCCACUUGGGUUGGCUUGGCACGGCACCGCGUGACUCAUCGGUCCAUUAGUCCAUUAUUUUAUCGAUAUCAAUAUGUAUGUUGCCGGGCUGCGGACAGCCGGACACACGUCACCAAACGGGCUGCCAUUCCGUCAACGUUCAACAUCUAGAAGGUGUGGAAUAUGUCGUCGAAUGGCACACCGUCGGGUCUGUUUGGAACGAAAGUGAGAGAAAAUACAGGAAAUAGAUAAGGAAUACAAUGGUCCUGUUUAAGUUAGAGGUUAGAGUUAUUCUCUAGUUUAUGACUAGCCCUCAAGUAACUCUAGCCAAAGAGAUGUUUGUAUGCAAGGGUUAGUGUUGAUGCAAAACUGAUCUGCAAACACAAAGGGCUAAUACCCGAUCCAAACGUUAAGGCGUGCCAGCCGAUUUAACCUUACUAUCGGCAAAGGUGAUAACUCGAAUACUUUAGUCCUGACAACAGCGAUGCGCCCGGAUGUCACGGCUAAGAGGUACUCACGCGGAACUUGAGAACACGCCGAGCUUAAGUCGACGAAUUCCUAAGAACUCGUAGUAAAAAGGAAAAAGUACGACGAAGUCGUCGAAAAAGUAGAUGCUGGAAUAUGAGUAAAAACGUGUGUUUGAUUGAUUGAUAGAUAGCUCAUUACAAGGCCCUAGGGUCUAUAUUUAUACCCUGCUCAAAGAGCUACAACCAGACACGAUUAGAAUUCGAAUUCCAAACUACACGGAAUCCGUAUACAAAACGAUGUAAAUAAUUAAAGAAAUAACAAAACUAUCCCCCGUGACAAACUGAAACUCCUCCAUACAACGACCGGCAGCUUCCGGACUCCCUCUUUGCAUCAUCGGCAGAUCUUUUGCCAUAGUCAUCGGCAGACUUUCUUAUCCAGUCAUCGGCACAAUCAUAUCACUGCCUGUAGACUUAGUCACGUUCAACUUCUCCUUCAUCGGCAACCAUCCUCAUCGGCAACUCACCCUGUAAACAUCGUACUGCCAUCUUAUCCUGCCAUCCUAGACACGUGCACAAAAACGGUGUCAACACAUGCCCCCCAGUUUCGGAGUAUAAAACUAUUAAUGCUCCGAAAUUCUCUGCAGUAAUGAUGCCUUUUCCCGCAAUUAAUGCUCCUAAUCUGGUAACCGACAACCUCAAUCUGAACAACUCUGAUCCUAUUCCUCCGCAGAUUCCUCGAAAUCCCCAACUUCCUAAACGGGCAUUUCUUCUCAGUCGUACGUCGGCAAUAAUACCGUUACAAAGAUUUGCCGAUGUUCUGACCAGGAUAUUCGCACAAAUGGUUACUUCCCCUCGAUCCGCCCAUCGGCAAUAUGACCGUUAUAGAAUGCUGCCGAUGGACCGACCAGGAGAUCUAGCACAGUAAAAUAUCUUCAGAUAAUGACCGCUUCCCGUCAAAUCACCUGCACAAUCCCUGGAUUAUCGUGCGAACAGUUACCAUAUCUUCCUGAGUACCCUCGGAUCUCUCGGAAGCGGCAAAGAGAAAAGUCAGAUUUGCCCUUGCCCAUUUCGUCCUAUAAAUAGUUCCUUCUCGGGUACUCCUUCCCUAUCACAUCAUUCCACCACCCAAGUUUACUUUUCCAGCGGCGGCGCCAUCCGAAGCUCCCAAGACCUCCAACAAGCAUUCUUCCUCAUCAACCCCGGUGUCUUCAAACACUUCCUUCGCAGCAAGAUGGCCGUCGGCUUCGUCGUUCCUGAGGUCAAAUCUCCACCCCGUCUCCUGUAUUUUUCUUCAUAUCCCUGUUCACUCGCAAUUCAUUUUACUGAAUAUCUCCCUUUUCUUUUCUCUUUGUAUUUCUUUUUAUCCCAAAAAUCACUAGGAAUUGUCCAAUAAAAUUGUCAUCCCCACUGAUCAACCACACCUCCAAUGUCUCGGUCCUCUAGGAGAUCCAGAUCCAACCGACCUUAUUAAUGCAGAAACCAACAGGAUCCCCUUUAGAACUGAAAAUUUUUCUUUAGAUCUGUGGAAAGAUACCUUCCGUUCUUGGCCUAGCCCUACCGUAGGGUGGAAAGACUGGUUCUUGAGAGUCAGCAAUUCUUAUGAAGUCCAGUGGGGCGAAAGGAAGCUAGCCCAAUGCAUUAGAUUGUCCAUUGCCGAUAUGCAUAGGAACGAGUCAUGCUGAUAGCUGCAUCCUACUUUUGGUCAGACACCCUCAAUGCUUUCGCCUUUGGCCACGGCCCUGCUUCUCCUACCCUUGCCGAUGUGGCCAUGCUUACUGGUCUAGAUAUAUCUUCUGCCGAUAGCACCUACUUUUUUGAUACUGCCCCUAGUGCCAAAGUGGAGACUCGCGCUAUCGGCGGUUGGUCAGGGUACAUUCAGAAGUACCGUGGGAAAGGAUCCGUCACCAUAAAGGAACAAACCACCUUUCUGAACAUGUGGCUGGACAAGUUUGUAUUCUGUGGUCGAUCGGCAGGACCAACUUCCGUUUAUCUAUCGGCAGCGGAGAGACUGGCUAACGGUGGCCAAUUUCCUCUCGGCCGAUACUUGCUUGGCGCUGUUUACCACCUUCUCCAUCAGGUAGCCCAGAAACUCCUGCUCGGCCAGUCCAUCGGCAACCUGGGAGGCCCCUGGUGGUUUAUUAAUAUGUGGCUCAAUCUGCACCUGCAUAAGCGCCUUGAUUUCAACUUGUUCACACAGCACUUCCCAAGAGAUAUAGCCGAAAACCAUGUGUUGGGUGAAGAGGAAUCGGCAACGCGUGCCCCCUUGAACUUUGGCGAAGCUGUCAUCGUUCUACCUGGUUCAGGGAGUAAUCCGGAUCAGAUCGGCCGAUUCUUCCAGGUUCUGUAUGAGGGUUUGGCCAGAGACGAACGACCAUGGUUGGCUUAUGAUGACCCAGAUAGCAUGCUCCCUCUGUCCUUCAAUCCAUUUGAUGAAGCUCUCGACAGGGACAAUGAGACGAUGAUGGCAAUUGUGACUCCCAGAAUCAUUCCAGUGAAUUUUUUUUGGUAGCACAAAAACCUCUCCUCAGACUUAUGAAUUUUACAAUCCAUCGGCAUUAGCUCGCCAGUUAGCUUUCGGCCAGUUGCCGAUUGCACUUCCUUAUGCCGAUGUGAUAAAACCCAGAGAAACCAUCAACAACCUCCUUGAGUGGAUUCGAGUAGCCCAACUACCACCAAACGCCGAUACAGAUGUAGAUCUGUCAGAAUGGGUUCCGGCUGCUUUUAUCACUCAGGCAUACAAGUUAUGGUGGGCAGAGUGGAAAGAGCAUCUAUUCUGCAGAUCGGCCCUUUCAUACCGCGGCAUGAUCGACUCCGAAUACGAAGUUCCCGAUGACACUGUAAGUAACUCAAACCGAUGUUCCAUUUUCUCAAUACUAUUUCCAUCGAUAGCUUACCCUUGUAUUCCUUUCGCAGGUUGACAACAUCCCCCCAUCGGUUAGCAGGAGCGGCAAGCCGAUCGACUUGUUUCCAUCAGGCCCGAUUUCCUCCAUCGGCCACAAUGCUCCUAUCCUGGCUUCCAUCGUGCAUCGGGGUGUGCGUCUCAGGAAAGUCACCACCAGGAGAACCCAGACAUCACCAACGGUAGCUGCUCCCACUCUGGCGCGGGCUUUCAAGGAAAUUUGUCAAAUCUUUUCCUUUAUGCUGACUAUCUUUAUAUCGGCUAUAUUUAUGCUUAUAAACUCUUGUUCGUUAUUGCAGCAAACCGGCGCAUCGGCGAAAGCCAGGCGUGAAAGUGCCGAUGCCCCCCAGUCUAGCCAACCAAAGAGAAAAGGCACCACAGGUGCUAAGACUGGAACAAAGCGCCAGAAGGUAGCAACUCCCCCUCCUCCUCCGGUGUCUCCAAUUCCGGUGGAGUCUUCUCCUUCUUCUCCAGAAGCCCAGCCACAGCAAGCACCGUCUCCCCAACCUAUGCAGGAAGCACCACAGAUAGAAGAACCCCAGCAGGAAGGAUCCCAAACAGAAGGUACAUCAGCUGAUGUGGGUGGACAAACAACUGGCCCGGAGGGUCCAAUUACACCAUCGGCGGUUCUCCCGAUUCAGACAACCGUUGUUCCACCUCCAGGUAACAUACUUUAACAAUACCGCUACCGAUGAACUUAUUCCCAUUUAGUCUCAUAACUCCUCUUAUCUUCUUUCAGCUGAUAUCGUUCCAUCGGCAACCUCAGCCGAUCAACCUGUAGUUCCAUCGGCAUCUUUGGCCGAUCAGCCUGCAGCUCCGUCAGCACUUCUCAGUCAAAGACAAGAGAUCGCCUUGAAGCAAGUAAGUCACCGUUUACCGUUAGCAUUAUUUGCCGAUUCUCUGAAUAUGAGCUAACUUUGCUUUCCCUCCCAGGAACAAGAUUCUCCCGACAGCCUGUUCUCCUUCGCCAUCGAUCUCUCUGAAGAAGAAGGUGAAGAAGCAAGCUCUUCUCAGGCAGUCGGCAUUACAUCGGCAGAGAUCAGGGUCAGGCUGGAAGAAUUGUCAGCUCUCCUUCAUCAGGACACAGCACAAUUGGUUGAUGACUCCGAUCCUACCAAGACCCUGUUCAGAACUCUCAGAGGCCAAAUCCCAGCCGAUGUCGAAGAAAUCCUAUUCCAAGCCGCUCAUCUGGAGAGUCGCCAGCUACAGUACCAGAGAGCUUCUCGGCGUCUUGCCGAUAGAGCCGCUCAGACUCAACUCUCCGAUGAAAUGAGGAAGGAGAAGCUCUUGACCGAUGAGAAGCACAAGAACAUCGGUAUCCUGAGAUCUUCUGGAGACGCGCUGAAGAAGAAAAUAUCCGAUCUGUCGGCAAGAAGAGAAUCCCUGUUGGCGGAGCUCAAGGAAGUGGAGAACGCCCUAUCCCAAGCCCAACAGGAAGAGAGCCAAUUGUCAGAGACCAUCAGGCUUCUUGAGCACGAGCGAAACGCUCAUGGUCGCAAGGCACUUCAACUGAAGAAGAAGCUGAAGCCGAUAGAAGGUUCUGCCGAUGAUGACAUCAAGAAAAUAGAAGCAGCCAACCAAAUUCGGCUACGCGCUAUAUCGGCAAUCCAGGCGUUGCUUAAUACAUAGAGUUUCCAUUGGAUUUAUAUCCGUGCUUUCCUGCUUCCUCAGCUUUUAGUCUAGCCGAUAGGACUGUUAUCGGCACCUAAACUUUUGAAACACCAAGUCUUGUCCCCAAACAUUUGGAUCCAGUCGAUAGGAGUGUUAUCGGCACUUAAACUUCUAUGCAUCGACCCAUAUACUGGGGUAGUACUUCUUUAAAUAUUUGCCGUUUAAUGCUCUGGGAAAUUCAACUCCUUCGAGGGUUUCUAGAAUGUAGGCAUUACCAGGAGCCGAUCGACUUAUCCGAUAAGGACCCUCCCAAUUAGGAGACCACUUUCCAAACUUCGAACCUUUAGUCCCAAUUGGUAGAAUUAAUUUCCACACCAAAUCCCCAUCGGCAAACUCUUUAGCCUUCACUUUCUUAUCAUACCAUCUAGCAACUCUCUUCUUAUUUUCUUCUAUACUCAUUAAAGCUUUUAACCGAUGCCCUGCUAGAUCAUCCAAUUCAUCGGUCAUUAAAGUGGCAUAAUCAUCGGCAGUUAAUUGAUCUUGAAAAGAUAAUCGCCUAGAUCCAGCCUUAAUUUCCCAAGGCAACACCGCAUCAUGUCCAUACACCAAUUGAUAGGGUGACACCUUGGUUGAUCCAUGACAAGCCAUCCGAUAAGACCACAAUGCUUCAUUUAAUAAUGUAUGCCACCGCUUAGGAUUUUCUUCAAUCUUUCGUUUAAUAAGCUUGAUAAUUCCUUUGUUAGACGCUUCGGCCUGCCCAUUGGCUUGAGCAUAAUAAGGAGAAGAAUUCAACACUUUAAUCCCCAUACCGACUGCGAAUUCAUCGAACUCCCCCGAUGUGAACAUGGUGCCCUGAUCGGUAGUAAUCGUUUGGGGAAUCCCAAAUCGGUAAAUAAUAUGCUCCUUCACAAAAUCAAUCAUAUUGGCCGAUGUGACUUUCUUCAAAGGAAUAGCUUCAACCCACUUAGUGAAAUAAUCAGUGGCAACUAGAAUAAACUUAUGCCCUUUGCUAGAUGGUGGAUAAAUCUGGCCGAUCAGAUCGAUGGCCCAUCCCCGGAACGGCCAAGGCUUUAUUAUAGGAUUCAUAGCCGAUGCGGGUGCUCUCUGGAUAUUACCAAACUUUUGACAACCUUGACAUCCCUUGAAAUAUUCAAAACAAUCCUCAAGUAUGGUCGGCCAAAAAUAUCCAUUCCUUCGAAUCAUCCACUUCAUCUUAAAAGCUGACUGAUGCGCUCCACACACUCCUUCAUGGAUUUCCCCCAUCAAACUUCUAGCUUCAUCAUCACCCAAGCAUUGGAGAAGAAUUCCGUCGAUAGUUCGAUAAUACAAUUCAUCUUCAAGAAGCACAUACUUGCUUGCUUGAAAUCGAACCUGUCUUUCAACUUUUUUGGAUGGAUCUUUUAGAUAAUCAAUAAUUUCUUUCCUCCAAUCAUCGGCACCGAUUGCCGAUAUUGCAUUAAUCAUUGGCUGAUAUCCCGAAGCAUGUUGAGCUAACCGAUUGGCGUCUUCAUUAUGCAAUCGAGGAACAUGCUCUAAUCGGAAAUCCUUGAAUUCCUUUAACAGUUGCAUACUUCUCUCGAAAUAAGUUAUGAGAACUUCACUUCGGCAUUCAUAGCUCCCGGCCAAUUGAUUUAUAACCAACAUAGAAUCCCCGAAGAUCUCAACAGCAUCAGCACGAACUUCUCUUAACAACUCCAAUCCCUUGAUCAGAGCCUGAUACUCAGCCUGGUUAUUUGUUGAUGUGGCAACAAUCGGCAAGGAAAACUCAUACUUCCUCCCCUUAGGGGAAACUAAUACAAUGUCGAUUCCUGCCCCCCGGUCACAGGUAGAUCCAUCAAAGAAGAGUGUCCAGGGUACAAUUUCCAAGGUUUCCACCAUACCGCAAUGCUGAGUCACAAAAUCGGCCAUAAUCUGCCCUUUGACUGCCUUGGCCGAUUCGUAACGCAAAUCGAACUCCGACAGCGCUAAAAUCCAUUUACCGAUCCUACCACUCAUAAUCGGCAUAGAUAGCAUGUACCGGACCACGUCAUCUUUGCAAACAACAGUGCAUUCGGCCGAUAACAGGUAAUGUCUCAGCUUGAUACAUGAAAAAUAUAAGCAUAGGCAUAGUUUCUCAAUGGCCGAAUACCUGGUUUCAGCAUCAAUCAACCUCCUACUCAAGUAGUAAAUUACCCUUUCUUUCCCUUCAAAUUCUUGAACUAAAGCUGAACCGAUAACCGAUCCAUCGGCAGACAAAUACAAUCUGAAGGGCUUUCCUUGUUGAGGUGGAACCAGAACUGGAGGAUUUACUAGAUAUUUCUUUAUUUCACCCAGAGCCAACUGCUGUUCUUUUCCCCAAAUAAAUUCUUGAUCGGCUUUCAAUUUAAGAAGAGGACUGAAAGCACGAAUCUGACCAGACAGAUUAGAUAUAAAUCUCCUGAUAAAGUUUACCUUGCCGAUCAAGGACUGGAGUUCGGUCUUGUUGGUAGGGGCCACUAUUUUAUUGAUGGCAUCAAUGGAUCUUCGACUAAUUUCAAUACCCCUUUGAUGUACCAUGAAACCAAGAAACUGCCCUGCCGAUACACCAAAUGCACACUUGUUGGGAUUCAUCUUCAAUCCAUGCUUCCUUGUGCACUCUAACACUUUCUGUAAAUCGGCAAGAUGCUUUGAGAAAUCUCCAGACUUGACCACCACAUCGUCAAUAUAAAUCUCCACGAGCUUGCCGAUGAACUCAUGAAAUAUAAAAUUCAUAGCCCUUUGAUAAGUAGCACCAGCAUUCUUCAACCCAAAGGUCAUGACUAUCCAUUCAAAUAACCCAACAUGACCAGGACACCUGAAUGCGGUUUUUGGAAUAUCCUCCUCUGCCAUGAAUAUUUAAUUGUAUCCUGCAUUACCAUCCAUAAAGCUGAUGACCCGAUGACCAGCUGCAGCAUCAACCAGCAGAUCGGCGACAGGCAUUGGGUAUCCAUCCAUCGGCGUAGCUUUGUUGAGAUUCCUGAAAUCAAUGCACACUCGAAGCUUCCCGUUCUUCUUGUAAACCGGAACAACAUUGGAAAUCCACUCGGCAUACCAACACUGCCGAAUAAACUUAGCUUCAAUAAGUUUGGUGAUUUCGGCCUUAAUAUCAGGUAGAAUGUUAGGAUUACACCGGCGAGCUGGUUGCUGAUGUGGCCGAAAUCCAGACUUGAUGGGUAACCGAUGCUCAACAAUUGACCGGUCUAAACCAGGCAUCCCAGUAUAAUCCCAAGCAAAGCAAUCUUUAUAUUCCUUUAACAAACUAGUCAAUUGUUGCUUACACUCAGGAUCUAAUUUGGCACUAAUAAAAGUAGGCCUAGGCUUAUCACCACUACCUAUAUCUACUUCUACCAAAUCAUCGGCCGAUGUGAAUCCCUGGCCUAAUUUUCCAUCAUCGGCGAAUCUAUCCAUUAAAAACCGUCGUCAGAACCAACUGCUUGGAUCGGUGGAAUCUCGUAAUCGGCAACUUUGAGAAAAUCUUUCUCCCAAACUUCCCCUGAAAUGCACCUGGUCCUUUCGUAAGUAUCCGCCUCUGCCGAUGCGAUAACAUAAGAAGAAUCUCCUGGGACAAUCUCAAUCUUGUCACCUACCCACUGAACCAAGCAUUGGUGCAUUGUAGAUGGGAUACAACAAUUGGCAUGAAUCCAAUCUCUUCCCAACAAUAAGUUGUAAGCACCUUUUCCACUGAUCACGAAGAAAGUUGUUGGCAAGGUUUUGCUGCCGAUGGUGAACUCCACACAUAUUGCCCCCUUGACUGGAGACACGUUUCCUUCAAAGUCUUUGAGCAUCAUAUCGGUCUUGGUCAAAUCAUGAUCCCCUUUCCCAAGCUUCCGAUAUACUGCAUACGGCAUAAUAUUAAUAGCAGCUCCACCA
This 42821-nucleotide long non-coding RNA is filed under the name Sorghum bicolor (sorghum). Its description in RNAcentral is "long non-coding RNA (SBIC_LNC001641)". The record is from RNAcentral. Lineage: Eukaryota; Viridiplantae; Streptophyta; Magnoliopsida; Poales; Poaceae.